AACGAACGCUGGCGGCAUGCCUAACACAUGCCAGUCGAACGAGACCUUCGGGUCUAGUGGCGCACGGGUGCGUAACGCGUGGGAACCUGCCCUUAGGUUCGGAAUAACUCCCCGAAAGGGGUGCUAAUACCGGAUAAUGUCUUCGGACCAAAGAUUUAUCGCCUUUGGAUGGGCCCGCGUUGGAUUAGCUAGUUGGUAGGGUAAAAGCCUACCAAGGCGACGAUCCAUAGCUGGUCUGAGAGGAUGAUCAGCCACACUGGGACUGAGACACGGCCCAGACUCCUACGGGAGGCAGCAGUGGGGAAUAUUGGACAAUGGGCGAAAGCCUGAUCCAGCAAUGCCGCGUGAGUGAUGAAGGCCUUAGGGGUGCAAAGCUCUUUUACCCGGGAUGAUAAUGACAGUACCGGGAGAAUAAGCUCCGGCUAACUCCGUGC
Molecule: ribosomal RNA, 434 nt
Filed under: uncultured bacterium
Lineage: Bacteria
Description: partial 16S ribosomal RNA
Rfam family: Bacterial small subunit ribosomal RNA
Source: RNAcentral